GGGGCUGUGGCACAGCGGGUUAAUGCCCUGGCCUGAGGCGCCAGCAUCCCAUAUGGGCAUCGGUUCGAGUCCUGGCUGCUCCA
Oryctolagus cuniculus (rabbit) is the source of this 83-nucleotide transfer RNA. It matches the Rfam family "tRNA". From Rfam's summary of the family: Transfer RNA (tRNA) molecules are approximately 80 nucleotides in length. The record is from Rfam. Lineage: Eukaryota; Metazoa; Chordata; Mammalia; Lagomorpha; Leporidae.